AGGUAUUGACAAAAAAACCAAUUGCCAAAAAAAUUUGGCCAAUCAAACAUGCAAAAAGGUCAAAAAUAGAAUUUAAUUUCCUACUUCCAUAGAAAAUUUGUGCAAUCAAUCAAGGUUUUAUUGUGUCCUUGACCGAGAAAAAAGAAGAGGAAAAUACAAUAUAGUGGAGAAGUGGUAAAGAUGAGGACUUGCGUUAUCCACAAUCCUUUAGAGGUGCUUUUAUGUCACAACUUGACUUUAGAUUAAGCAAAAAAGGAAGAAUAUUUUGAAUAACAUCGUGUGGUGUCCACACGUAACUUGAGGCAUACAACUUCUUCAAAGCAUAGUCAAUAUUGACCGACCAAAAUACAAUAGCAAAGUGAUGACAUUGAGAAUGCCGUCUAGACAUAUAUCCGAUAUCCAAACCCUCACCCCAACCGCAUUGGGUCAUUCGUCUCAUAUUAGAGAUCGGAGACCUUAGAAUGCAAUCCANNNN
RNAcentral lists this long non-coding RNA (475 nucleotides) under Olea europaea (common olive). Its description in RNAcentral is "long non-coding RNA (OEUR_LNC003059)". The record is from RNAcentral. Lineage: Eukaryota; Viridiplantae; Streptophyta; Magnoliopsida; Lamiales; Oleaceae.